CAAUAAUCAGUGUUGCAAUGUUGAAGAUCUUUCUUAAAACUUCACUCAAGGUUUUGGUCUACUUGUCGUCUGUGUACUGUUUUGUACCAUCAGUAAUUUAUUGCAGAUUUCCAGUAAUGCUGAAUAAUAACACAGUAGUUGUGGAAACACACUGUUCAGUAGCAUAACAGUGUCACUAGAUAAAUGCAUUAUCACAAGUAAAAUUGCUGUGCAUAACAAAUCAAUUCAGACUGAUUCGUAGAUAACUAUUAAAAUGCUAACACUUCAGAUACAAGCAUAGCGUUGAAACAUUGUUUAUGGCUGCCUUCAGUUACUUCAGCUAUCAUAUAUGUGCUAAAGGAAAUAAUGCAUGUUUAAGCUGUUGUGGAUAUCUUCUGCAGAGCAAACCAUCUUUACUGAAUCUGGUGAAAUGCUAGAAAUGAAAUGUAUUAAGUAUGGAAUGUGUAUGCUGUGUGCUUUUAUAAUUCUUCCAUCCCUAUUUUAUAUUGGGUGCAGUACCAUCUUUAUUACCAAUUAGAUUUUUCACUCAAGAGUCUGCUGUUUGAAUUUUAACCAAUUCAAUACUGUAAGACCUUUUCUGGAUGAAACCUCUUUCCAAGUCAGUAGCUGAGAGUAAAUUACUUCAUAAAAGUAGGGAUAGCACCUUUAUGGGUAACUGAAUCCUUUGUAUAGUUUCGAAUUAUUUGCCCACUGUCAUGAUUAAACCUACAUUUAUUUCAUCAAACUUGUGAAAGACAAAUUUAUUGUUAUUGUUGUUUCACUAAAGUGUUUUUUUUUUCCUUCUUUAUAAAUAGUUUGGUACAAAUUGCUGAUGGUAAAAUCACUGUAUAUGCUUUUCAUGACAUGACUUAAUGCUUUUUAAGGCACUACCAAAUUAUCCUCAUCAUACAAUAUUAUACACAUAUUACAGAAGUGGCUAAUUUAAAACAAAAUUUAAACUGGGUGCAGAACCCAAUCUGAGCUAUUAUAAACAUCUGAAAGUUGUUUUGAAUUCAUGCUCAUUUCCUAGGUUAUUCAUGCUUUAUGUCUGUGUGCAAACUCUGUGAGAACACUGAAAAUGUCUUUUGUGCAAAUAUAUUUUUGGAUAUUGAUAUACAUGCAUGCAGUUGUUUAUAGCUAUGCUCAAAGGCAAUGAGAAGCAGCAUUCAUCUAUAUAUUACAAAGACGAUGUGCACAAUAACUGUGCUUUCAACUUCCAUCAUAUGCUAUAUAUUGAAAAGAUAAUGAUUUUUGUUCUCCAGCCUUCAGGUUUCCUUAUGAAAUUAAUCUGGUUUAUCAGCAUGUUCAUUGAUCCCUCUGCUAUAUAAUUGUUGAGAAUUUUGACUGGCUUCAGCCUAAUUUAGCAGACAGAUAGUGGUAAUAUAUUCUAAGCUUUCUGAAACUAGCUAGAGGAUAAUGCACUGCAGCAAACUCUGCAUUAGUCUUCAGAAAAACUCCAUAAGGUGUUGACCUAAUGUUGCAAGAACCAGCUGAUAACAAGCUUCCUCAGAAUCUCUUUUUCUGUCUUCCUGAGUUAGUAUCUACCAUGUCAGACUAUGUUUGCCAGGAAUGGAGGUAGAAUCAUUAACAUUUAUUAUUAGCGGAUGCUGCAUGGAAAUAUUGUACUCCUAAGUGUACUAUCAAUAGUGAACUGAUCAGACUUACUUUUUCUAGGAAGAAAAAAAACCCAAACCCUAAAUUUCUAAGUCCCUCCCUCCACUGUGGUAAGCGGGUGAUGGUAUGUAUGGCUUAUUCAGCAUAAAAAGCAGACCGAUGAUCUAAAGAGGCUGUGAUGUGGGGAGUUGUUUUCAUUUUAGUCUUGACACAAAAUACGUGGGAGAACGAAAUACCCGGCUAAGAAAAAAUAUACAAAAUGAGAAUAAAAGCAAGGAAUUUCCAUCUGACUUGCUUGCGUUUACUGAAAUGCAAAAGUAUCUAGCAAUCACCAGACAUCACUAACUCAUAAAUACUGUAUUUUGUAUAAAUUUUUAGACUUUCAUUUUUCCCUGUUUUUUUUCUUCAUAUUUUUAACAGAACGCUGUUCUUUCUUACUUCGCUUCUUUUCAUCCUUUGUUUAAAAUGCAUCUGUUUGUGAUAUGGCUGUCUUAUAGAAAGAUGCAGUCAUUAGGAAACAGUUUAAUGUUACAAUGCAGUGUUCUAUCUCUGUAUGCAAGUGAGCUGAACUUCAUUUUUGUGUGAUGCUUGUGUUUUCUUUUGUCAAAAUAUUGAACAUAAUAUCAUGUCUGAUUUUAAUAAAGAUCGGGUAAGCCUAACUGGAGAAGAAGCACUGAGCCAGAUGAGGUAGCUUCAUUUAAUGACCAGACCGUGACCCCAUUUCACUGACAUAAGUGUAGAUCAGAGUGGAAGAUGCCUGUCCAGUGUGAAGUGUGUUUCUGGGCUUGACAGCACUUCACAUCAGAAUGACAGCUUAAGAAUACGACAGUCAAAAUUGCUUAAUUAUGUCCCAGCUUUGUAAUUAUUCAUCCUGCUCUUAUGAGUACAGUUGUCAUUUCUUUGACAUAAUUAUUUAAAACUGUACUCUCCCUUAGUUCAUGGGUUGUAUAUGAAUUGUGCUUCCAAAUGUUUAAUCUUAAAAAUUUAGAGAUGUGAAACAGAAUAUAAUUUGAAAAUCCAUUUUAAGAUGCCAUACUUUUAUAUUGUAUAUGAUAUAUACAAAUAAAAUGAUGAAGUAUCAAAGGGAUCAUAAUUCCAUUUUUUAAAGGUCUGUAUCCGUGAUAAUUUAAUCUAGCUGAUAAAAUGUGGGUAUAUUCAUUAUAUAUAAAAUGUGUUUCUGUGAUUACAUACUGUAUUAGUUCUCUUUAAAUGUAAUUGCUUAGUACUGAGUAAGAGUAGUUGCUUUUAAAAAAUGCGUAUGCUUCCCUGUAUUUUGCAACCCCUCUGCCCAGCAGCUAUUUUUUGUUUUACUGUAUUUUCAAGGUUAAAAUUUUUAUCAGUAAUAUUUAUAGUGGCAAAAGCAAGCAGUGUAUAUUUGGUCAGAUAUAGCAGUCUUAAAGUUCAUAGGACCAAAUCAUUAGAAGGAAUAUGUGGGUAUACUUCCAAGUUGUUUUGCUUUAUAGCAUCUUUACCAGGAACAUCUUGUCCGGUGAAUAUAAAGGACAUUCUUUACAACAAAAGAUGGCAGUAUAAGUGUUUUGAUUUUUUUUUCUCUUGGAUGUAUUAUUUUCUUCACAAAUUAUAAUCAUAAAACCUGACGUAGCAUUCUUUUUCCAAGGAAUGAAAUGAAGACCCUUAAGUAGAAGUAAAGUCUAAUAUCUGUUUUUCAUGUCAUUAAGAAUAUGUGAUUCUUGCUCAUGCUGUGAUUCGGAGGAUAGAGAAGGUUUGUUUAAUUGUGAUAGUAAGACUAAAUAUUCAAUGGUGCAGCUAAAGAACUAAGGAAAUCUAAAAUCUAUAGUUACGGUUUUGGGUCAUUGUCAGUUUUCUUUUGUUUAAGAUCAUAGGAAGAUCUAUCAUAUAAAAGUGACUGAUGCUUUAAAAAAGAAUUCCAUUACAAUCAGAUAAUUGUAGAGGGGCUCUAGGGAUUUUUGUUCAUAACUAUUUUAAAAAGUCAUGAUUUUCUUAAAUAUAUAUCCUGUCUCUUCUUAAAUUGUACACCAGGCCUUUUUACUAACAUGUCUCAUGGACUGCUUUUUACCCCUCUCCAAAUUAAGAAAAUGAUGGGCUAGGUUUAAAGAGUAAAUAAAAGGUGGCAGAUAAGACUUUGUCACCUCACAGUUCUUACCCUCUUACCAUCACUGUGUAGAAAUCAGGGCUUAUGUGCUUAAAGCAUUUGAAAUUGAUGUAGAACCCGGGACUUAUAAAGUGUAAAGAUCCAUUUUGUCAAUGAAUUGCUAGAUAGUAAGGUACCUCUUUGAGAUAGCUUCUACAAAAUAGACCUCCUUAUGGUCCAUUAUGUCAAAGUUUCAUGUAGUAAAAAAGAACAAAGCCAUGAAUUUAAGAUUCCAAAGUAGACUAUGAUGCAGUAAUAUUGACUUCAAGACACUGUAACAGUGAUGCUAUUCUUUGACUCACUGAGCUGUCCAUUUUGCUCUUUGAAAGUGAAAGUAUUUUAAGGAACAGUCCAUAAUGGUUGUCUGUUUGCCAAAUGUAUGUGAACUCAGCACUUAGCACUGUGAGUCCAGAAACAGAACUUGAACAGUCAUAUUCAAAAAUGCAAGAAUACUCUGUUCAGAAGACUUUUUAAAGUCAGUAAAACUAUCCUCAAUUUUUACAAUAACAAAAAUGAGUUCUCAAAAUAUGGAUAUGAUAUCUGAGAGAAAAAAAUCUGUUAUCAGAUCUCAAGAUGCUUAUAGAUUAUAUUAUGAUAUGAGAUUUUCAGAAAUGGGAAAUCUAAUUAUGGCUGUGCACAGCCUGAAUAAGGGGCUUAUGGGUAUAGCUGAAAAGUUAUAUAUUAGACAAAUAAACAGAAAGCUGGUAUUUCUUCAAAUGACUGAUGAAGGUCUAUAGAAGAUACCUAUGAGGCUGUGGAGAACUGUAUGUGGACUUAUGAACUUUCACUUACAGUAUAGGAUGUUACUGGGCAAUAAGUGGGGUAACAGUGAAUUGAGUCUUGCCUGAUAUGAAGUCUAUGGAUAAAACAAUUCAGUAAUGAGUGACAUGUAGUAGCUCCUUUUAUGUUUCCUGCUGUUACACAUCAGAUUAUACGUGCAUAGGAAGGAGAGCUGUAGGAGAAAUAGAUCAUUCCGUCUUUUUGUACGAUCGACAGCAGAUCAGAGUAGUGCUUGCUAGGUAACAUGUCCUAGUGAAGAAGCUUAAUGAUAAAUUUAGUCUGUCUUUGAAUUUGUGCAUCAUGUGAGAGAACUCUUGCCCCUGGAAUUAGUAAUGGGACCUACAACUGUCUUCUAAGGCCAGCGGAUAAAAAGUUGCCUUCCAAGUACUUGUAAGGGCAACAAUGUUAAAGUGCUCAGGAAGCCGGCUUGGGAAAAGGCAGUGAAAAAAGAGAAAAGUAGAGUUCAAUAUCCGAAGGAGAAUAGAAGAAAAUUAUGAUAGUAAAGUUGAAGAUGAAAAUUUUAGUUAGGAAUAGUUUGGAGAGUAAGCAACAUGCAUGCAGUAUCGAAGUCGGCAAACUAAGAAAUUUAAAGGGAUUUUUUUUGUGUGUGUGUGUGUGUGUGUGUGUGUGUGUGUCUUGGCAUAUGACAGAUCACAAGAUUAGAGAGAGAGGGAGCUUUAGUCUGUGAAUUUUGAGAAGAGCAAUGAGUUGAAAAUGUGAGGACUAAGCUGAAAGCAUACAGCUAUUGAAAUAGUAAAAGAAUGUAUUCUCUUUGACUGACCAGCUGUAAUUCUGUCUGUCAUGAAUGAAGAAUAGAUACAUGGAUCAUAGGUGUGUUAGGUAAAAGGAGGAAAGUCUUUUUCUCAUUGUUUGUUCUCAUGGUAAUAUUUCUUGAAAAACCAAUAUAUAUUUAGUUCUUCGGGAGGGUAGUAUGCAGACUACAUUUCAGAACCUCAUUGUAUUGAAGAUACAGUGUGCAAAGGGUGCUAUCUCUUUCCUAAAAUAAUUCCUUCAAAAAAUUAUAUGAUUUUCAUGAAGCCAGUGUCCUUUUAGUCAUUAAUGAUCCUGAUGCACUUUUCACAUAGAAGGGGUGUUAGUUUUGGCCUGGUUCCAAUUCAGGUAAUUACAUUCUGCCUCCAUGGAUUUCUCUGCAGUGUCAAUUUACUAAGGCAUUCUUCUCCAUCUUCCUCCCUAAAAAAUUAUGUACAGUCGCAGAGUGUUAGUUAACCAGCUGCUAUUUUGCACCUGAAAAGUGUCUAUCUUUCAGUUGUAGUGUGCAAGCAAUGCACCUGAGCGACAGGAAAAUGUGGAGCCUGGCAAUCAUUUAAGGGCCUCCAGUGAUGCUGCCUCCAUCUCUCCUGAGAUGAGCUAUACACCUCUACCUUCGGGAUCCAGAGACCUCACCAAUCACAGAGGUAAAAGCUAAACUUUUAUUGGCAUGGACUCCUGCAAGGUAGUAAACUUCACAGUGAGGCCUGCUAUGUAGUAGUUACCACUGUAUUGGCACUUUACUUGAAAGGCACAAGUACUCUCUGUACUACAUGAGAAAACCAUACCUGUCAAGAUUACAGAUUUUAGCUCAUAUUUAAAGAGGGGUUAAAGGUAGUCUACUGGGAAAACAAAUCUAUAGAUAAUAACAUUUUGGUUUUUUGUUUUGUUUUUAUGUGUGAGAGAAAAAACAUUAAAAGGUUAAAGUACUUAAAUAUUGCUAAGUAGAUGAUUGCAUGCAGGGUUGGUAAUUUUGAGAGAAUCUGUAAAGUUUCUAUUAUUUGUAAAGAGAAAGCUUUUUGGCAUUUUAACAAUUUAGGGCUAUAAUUUUGAAAUGUUAACAUGUUUUCAUUGCAAUAAAAUGGGACUCAACCUUCUCUGUUUUUAAGCAAUAAAGACCAGAUCAGUGUUCAAUUUCCUUUUUCACCGGUACUUAGAACUUAAAAAAAAAAAAAAAAAAAACCUUGGGCAAACUCUUGAAUUCCUUCUUCAUACCUAUGGAGCAAAAAGUUCAGGGAGCAGUCAGGAAGAGCACAUUCCAAGCUCUUCUUUUUCAGAAGAAAUGUAUAUAGCUUGCAACAUUUUUCAGCUUGAAACCAGAGUAACAACACUCAGUGUUUUCCACAUUGCACAUUUAAUUCCAUGGAGACUUUAGUAUUUCAAGUGUUUUCCAAAUUUAGACUGCAUAAAUGAUUUGUGUAGAGGUUAUUUUUAUACCAGAAUAUCAGAAUCGAAGUCGAUGUCGUAUUUAUGAAUUAAUGGUAAC
Molecule: long non-coding RNA, 6740 nt
Filed under: Gallus gallus (chicken)
Lineage: Eukaryota; Metazoa; Chordata; Aves; Galliformes; Phasianidae
Source: RNAcentral